This 482-nucleotide ribosomal RNA is filed under the name uncultured bacterium. RNAcentral's name for it is "partial 16S ribosomal RNA". It matches the Rfam family "Bacterial small subunit ribosomal RNA", at positions 30 to 507 of the family's 1533-position model. The record is from RNAcentral.
AUUGGACGCUGGCGGCAUGCUCUACACAUGCAAGUCGAACGGUAACAGGCCGCAAGGUGCUGACGAGUGGCGAACGGGUGAGUAAUGCAUCGGAACGUGCCCAGUCGUGGGGGAUAACUACUCGAAAGAGUAGCUAAUACCGCAUACGAUCUAUGGAUGAAAGCGGGGGACCGUAAGGCCUCGCGCGAUUGGAGCGGCCGAUGUCAGAUUAGGUAGUUGGUGGGGUAAAGGCUCACCAAGCCAACGAUCUGUAGCUGGUCUGAGAGGACGACCAGCCACACUGGGACUGAGACACGGCCCAGACUCCUACGGGAGGCAGCAGUGGGGAAUUUUGGACAAUGGGCGCAAGCCUGAUCCAGCAAUGCCGCGUGCAGGAAGAAGGCCUUCGGGUUGUAAACUGCUUUUGUACGGAACGAAACGGCUCUGGUUAAUACCCGGGGCUAAUGACGGUACCGUAAGAAUAAGCACCGGCUAACUACGUG